This is a long non-coding RNA of Bombyx mori (domestic silkworm), 353 nucleotides long. RefSeq lists it as uncharacterized. The transcript is spliced from 2 exons. Lineage: Eukaryota; Metazoa; Arthropoda; Insecta; Lepidoptera; Bombycidae. The record is from RefSeq and is a predicted model, not a curated record.
AAAACUCAUUAGGCGUUUCAUGUGUUGGUACGUUUAUCUCGUAGGAGUCGCGACGUUGAGGUCUUAUUCGCAAUAACACGCGUAUUGGUGCCCCACUCACGUCCGCGGUACGACGGGUUCGCGUACCGAACGAUCCCAGCUAACUGUCUGGCAGUUCACAUUAUUUUGGUACGUUUACUAUUGUGGUGACUUACACACAUGAUUGCAUAGUUUGCAAGUGUGAGUGUGAACAGCGUGAGGUGCGCUGCCGCGCCAGUCUUCCGCAGACCUCUGACCACGAAGAAUCAGUUACAUUGACACAACAUACCUAUCUCGAUUGCUUAUGUUCUUAUUAAAGUUUAAUGUACACAGUA